CCUACGGGUGGCAGCAGUGAGGAAUAUUGGUCAAUGGCCGGAAGGCUGAACCAGCCAUGCCGCGUGAAGGUCAGUGCCCUAUGGGCGUUAAACUUCUUUUGUGCGGGAGCAAUAAUGGUCACGUGUGGCCAGACGAGAGUACCGUCUGCAUAAGCAUCGGCUAACUCCGUGCCAGCAGCCGCGGUAAUACGGGGGAUGCAAGCGUUAUCCGGAUUUAUUGGGUUUAAAGGGUGCGUAGGCUGUGAGGUAAGUCAGCGGUCAAAUCGUGGGGCUAAACCCCAGCCAGCCGUUGAAACUGGGGAUCUAGAGUGUGCGAGAGGUAUGCGGAAUGCGUGGUGUAGCGGUGAAAUGCAUAGAUAUCACGCAGAACCCCGAUUGCGAAGGCAGCAUACCGGUGCACAACUGACGCUCAGGCACGAAAGCGUGGGUAUCGAACAGGAUUAGAUACCCGUGUAGUC
RNAcentral lists this ribosomal RNA (458 nucleotides) under uncultured bacterium. Its description in RNAcentral is "partial 16S ribosomal RNA". It matches the Rfam family "Bacterial small subunit ribosomal RNA", at positions 338 to 795 of the family's 1533-position model. The record is from RNAcentral.